UUAACGGAACAUAUUUUUGUUGGAAAAUAACAGUUGUUCCAUUUAGUGAUGUUAAAAUUUAGACAAAUUUAAAAAAUGUAUGCUUCGAUUUGAUUAAUUGUAGUCAGCUGAAGUUUAGUCGGAACUUCGCAGGAAAAAAUAAAGGAUGUAUCCGAAAGAGCUGAAGAAGAAAGUGAACAACAUCACGAAGAAGUACCCGAGGAACUUCUUCAGGAGUGUGUUCCUGUUCUUGUUUGCGAUCAGGCUGUCCCGGGAAUUAACGGGGAUAACAGUCUUCCCAGAAAAAGCAUGCUAGUUUUUACACCAAAUUUUCAUUGACUCACCCCUGGUUGAAGAUGGUAACCACUCAGUUCCAUGUCUGUUUCAAGGAUGCGCGCCACACAUGGCGCUGUGGGGAGUAUUCUAAAUAAAAAUAUUAAUAAAUUUGGAUUGAAUUUUGAUUAAAUU
Cimex lectularius (bed bug) is the source of this 447-nucleotide long non-coding RNA. RefSeq lists it as uncharacterized. NCBI's taxonomy places the organism in Eukaryota, Metazoa, Arthropoda, Insecta, Hemiptera, Cimicidae. The record is from RefSeq and is a predicted model, not a curated record. The transcript is spliced from 2 exons.